RNAcentral lists this ribosomal RNA (604 nucleotides) under uncultured bacterium. Its description in RNAcentral is "bacterial SSU rRNA". The stretch from base 1 to 513 matches the Rfam family "Bacterial small subunit ribosomal RNA", at positions 338 to 873 of the family's 1533-position model. The record is from RNAcentral.
CCUACGGGAGGCAGCAGUGGGGAAUCUUGCGCAAUGGGCGAAAGCCUGACGCAGCCAUGCCGCGUGAAUGAUGAAGGUCUUAGGAUUGUAAAAUUCUUUCACCGGGGACGAUAAUGACGGUACCCGGAGAAGAAGCCCCGGCUAACUUCGUGCCAGCAGCCGCGGUAAUACGAAGGGGGCUAGCGUUGCUCGGAAUUACUGGGCGUAAAGGGAGCGUAGGCGGAUAGUUUAGUCAGAGGUGAAAGCCCAGGGCUCAACCUUGGAAUUGCCUUUGAUACUGGCUAUCUUGAGUGUGGGAGAGGUAUGUGGAACUCCGAGUGUAGAGGUGAAAUUCGUAGAUAUUCGGAAGAACACCAGUGGCGAAGGCGACAUACUGGCCCAUUACUGACGCUGAGGCUCGAAAGCGUGGGGAGCAAACAGGAUUAGAUACCCUGGUAGUCCACGCUGUAAACGAUGAGUGCUAGUUGUCGGCAGCAUGCUGUCGGUGACGCAGCUACGCAUAAGCACNCCGCCGUCGGGAGGUACGGUCGCGAGAAGUUAAACGUACGAAAGUUAAGUUAGUACGGCGUUGAGACGNGCCGACGGACGACGACGAGGGAGGAGG